Molecule: ribosomal RNA, 29 nt
Filed under: uncultured Tulasnellaceae
Lineage: Eukaryota; Fungi; Basidiomycota; Agaricomycetes; Cantharellales; Tulasnellaceae
Description: partial 18S ribosomal RNA
Source: RNAcentral
UCCGUAGGUGAACCUGCGAAAGGAUCAUA